CAGCACCUCAAGUGGUCAGGAUGAUUAUUGGGCCUAAAGCAUCCGUAGCCGGCUCUGUAAGUUUUCGGUUAAAUCUGUACGCUCAACGUACAGGCUGCCGGGAAUACUGCAGAGCUAGGGAGUGGGAGAGGUAGACGGUACUCGGUAGGAAGGGGUAAAAUCCUUUGAUCUAUUGAUGACCACCUGUGGCGAAGGCGGUCUACCAGAACACGUCCGACGGUGAGGAUGAAAGCUGGGGGAGCAAACCGGAUUAGAGACCCGAGUAGUCC
RNAcentral lists this ribosomal RNA (269 nucleotides) under uncultured archaeon. RNAcentral describes it as "partial 16S ribosomal RNA". It matches the Rfam family "Archaeal small subunit ribosomal RNA", at positions 477 to 747 of the family's 1478-position model. The record is from RNAcentral.